This is a long non-coding RNA of Cynocephalus volans (Philippine flying lemur), 1432 nucleotides long. RefSeq lists it as uncharacterized. The transcript has 4 exons. The record is from RefSeq and is a predicted model, not a curated record. Lineage: Eukaryota; Metazoa; Chordata; Mammalia; Dermoptera; Cynocephalidae.
GAAGCGAAUUGAGACCCGUGUUGUGUCCUGUCCGAGGGGAACCCACUCUCCCCUCCUCCUUGUCGCCGACUCCCGGCCCGCAGGGCGACUCGGGCCAGCCCUGGCCGCGGCCUGCACUGCCACCGGCCCAGCCCGCGGCGUCGUGCCCCGCUCCGGGGCGGUUACGAAGCUCCGUAGGGGGACGGGAGGCCCUGACCGGCAGUAGUUCGGCGAGACCGGAGCCCUCCGCGGGGCCGGGACUGCAGGGUUUCCACAGGAAAUGAGAAAGAACCAGCCCCCGAUGACUGGGCGAAGGGAUGCAGUGAUGAUUUCCUCGUGUUCCUCGUCGAUGAGAGCUUUCCGAGUGAUCUCAGUUUGGGGGACCCAGGAGUGAGAGGAUUGCUGUUGUACUACAAUCAUGGUGCAAAAAUACCAGUCACCAGUGAAGGUGUAUAAACACCCCUUUGAAUUAGUUAUGGCUAGGGAAAAUUCUGCAAAGCAAUCAGUGUUGAAGACUAAAGGGAUGGCAGUGAAUCUUCCCACACGCUGUCGAGUGUUUUCACCGUUAAUGCCCACCAGGCUGCUCCAGAAGUGCAGAGUGGGUGGCUUCCCCAGCUGCCUCUCUGGAAUCCAGAGCUUGGGGACAGACUCCAGGAACAGCUCUGUGAGCUACUCCAGCUUUCCUGCAACACUUGCCCCUUCUGUGUUUUCCAGAUGGGAUGUGAACAUCUCAGGGCCCAGCAGGUGGGCUAAGCACCCUCUGCCUGAGGAUCGCUCCCUCAGGCUGCCACUUGAUGGGAAAUGUCCGAUGCACCCAGGAGGCCUGGGGGCUAACAAGGUGGGAUGCCUCCAGACUCAGACUCUAGCUCUGCCACCCUCCAGCCACGAGGCCUGGACCAGUCACUUAACCAAGACAAAGCCCCAGAUGGCAGUGACAUUUCCUGCAAGAUGAUGCAGAUUUAAUGUGUGUGUGAGUGUCCCUUGAUAGAGCUGCUGGCAGGAGCCAAGGCUGCCUAGUUCACCGUGGUGUCCCCAUGAUUGAAGUCAGGGCCUGGGUAUCCCAGGUGCUCAGUGUCAAUGGAAUAAAUGGAUAGUAAUAAUUGAAAAAUAAUAAGUGAAAAAGUCAUGAGUGAAAAAAAUGGGGUAAUAUUAAAAAAUAAUGGAUACAUGAACAGUAAACGAGUAUAAUUUAACAAACAUUUGGACAGAGCUUUGCCUGGGCCAGGCACUGUUCUCAGAAAUAUACAAUUAUUAAUUCAACAAAUGCUCAUAACUACCUUGUGGAGCUGGUGCCAUCAUUAUAAUCAUUUUACAGAUGGGGAAACUGAGGCACAGAGGCUAAGAGACUUGUUCAAGUUCCCACAGCCAAUAGGGGGUAGAGGCCAGGACUAGAACCAGGCUGCUGACCCUCUGCUCUACACCACCACAUCCCACUGCCCAGUGGGCAUUAACA